This 817-nucleotide ribosomal RNA is filed under the name uncultured bacterium. RNAcentral describes it as "bacterial SSU rRNA". It matches the Rfam family "Bacterial small subunit ribosomal RNA", at positions 8 to 796 of the family's 1533-position model. The record is from RNAcentral.
AGAGUUUGAUCAUGGCUCAGAACGAACGCUGGCGGCGUGGAUAAGACAUGCAAGUCGAACGCUGAUCAGGGGGUAGCAAUAUUCUCUGGUUGGAGUGGCGCAAGGGUGCGUAACACGUGGGUAAUCUGCCGUGAAGACUGGGAUAACUCGCUGAAAGGCGAGCUAAUACCGGAUGUGACUGUUGGGGAGCAUUCUCUGACAUUGGAAGCUGGGGACCUGAAAGGGCCUGGCGCUUCAUGAUGAGCCCGCGGCCUAUCAGCUAGUUGGUGAGGUAACGGCCCACCAAGGCUAAGACGGGUAGCUGGUCUGAGAGGACGACCAGCCACACUGGAACUGAGACACGGUCCAGACACCUACGGGUGGCAGCAGUCGAGAAUUUUUCACAAUGGGCGCAAGCCUGAUGGAGCGACGCCGCGUGGGGGAUGAAGGGUUUCGAUCCGUAAACCCCUGUCAUUUGCGAACAAUGCUCAUUGGUUAAGAGCUGAUGAGUUGAUAGUAGCGAAAGAGGAAGGGACGGCUAACUCUGUGCCAGCAGCCGCGGUAAUACAGAGGUCCCAAGCGUUGUUCGGAUUCACUGGGCGUAAAGGGUGCGUAGGUGGCCGUGGAAGUUUGAUGUGAAAGCUCGGAGCUUAACUCCGAAAUGGCAUUGAAUACUCUACGGCUUGAGGGUCGGAGGGGAGACUGGAAUUCUCGGUGUAGCAGUGAAAUGCGUAGAUAUCGAGAGGAACACCAGUGGCGAAGGCGAGUCUCUGGACGACACCUGACACUGAGGCACGAAAGCUAGGGGAGCAAACAGGAUUAGAUACCCUAGUAGUCC